This 344-nucleotide ribosomal RNA is filed under the name uncultured bacterium. Its description in RNAcentral is "bacterial SSU rRNA". It matches the Rfam family "Bacterial small subunit ribosomal RNA", at positions 22 to 356 of the family's 1533-position model. The record is from RNAcentral.
GCUCAGGACGAACGCUGGCGGCGUGCCUAAUACAUGCAAGUAGAACGCUGAAGACUUUAACUUGCUAAAGUUGGAAGAGUUGCGAACGGGUGAGUAACGCGUAGGUAACCUGCCUACUAGCGGGGGAUAACUAUUGGAAACGAUAGCUAAUACCGCAUAACAGCAUUUAACCCAUGUUAGAUGCUUGAAAGGAGCAAUUGCUUCACUAGUAGAUGGACCUGCGUUGUAUUAGCUAGUUGGUGAGGUAACGGCUCACCAAGGCGACGAUACAUAGCCGACCUGAGAGGGUGAUCGGCCACACUGGGACUGAGACACGGCCCAGACUCCUACGGGAGGCAGCAGUA